GGGCGGCCUGCGUCACGUGGCGGGGGCGCGCGCGCCGCGGCGGCCUACGUCACGGCGACCGCGCGCCUACGGACAGGAGCUGCUAUUGCCUGAUCAACUGUGCCUUGGAUGUGGAACAUCUCCCUGGCUGCCUAUUUGUGUGCAUGCGUAGCUUUCCAGCAUCUCAGAGGGUACCUAUGGGAGUCCGACCACAUUGCUUGGACUGCUGCUGAGGCCAAAGAUCUUGAAGCCCUCAGAAUGGAGUAAAGCUGAUGAUGUCCCUCCUAGCUGCAUGCGAGUUCAAUUGGAGUUCCCAGGAAGAGGUUCCUCACAGAGGGUGGAUAGGUCUCCUGAGGAUCUUACUGCUCUUGUCUCCCCACUGUGGGCACUUGCCAACUGUUAGCUCUUUUGUGUUUGCUCUUGGAUACAAGUAACCACAGUGGGGGAAUGGAAGAUACGGGAUUUUGGUCCUAAAAUAAGGAUGUUUGUCUGAAUUUGUUUCUGUAGAUAAUCCGAAAAUACCAGAAUAAAGAAGAUUUUUGCUCUUUGGUCUUA
Molecule: long non-coding RNA, 534 nt
Organism: Rhea pennata
Lineage: Eukaryota; Metazoa; Chordata; Aves; Rheiformes; Rheidae
Exons: 4
Source: RefSeq, a predicted model, not a curated record